GAUGAACGCUGGCGGCGUGCCUAAUACAUGCAAGUCGAGCGAACAGACGAGGAGCUUGCUCCUCUGACGUUAGCGGCGGACGGGUGAGUAACACGUGGAUAACCUACCUAUAAGACUGGGAUAACUUCGGGAAACCGGAGCUAAUACCGGAUAAUAUAUUGAACCGCAUGGUUCAAUAGUGAAAGACGGUUUUGCUGUCACUUAUAGAUGGAUCCGCGCCGCAUUAGCUAGUUGGUAAGGUAACGGCUUACCAAGGCAACGAUGCGUAGCCGACCUGAGAGGGGGAUCGGCCACACUGGAACUGAGACACGGUCCAGACUCCGACGGGAGGCAGCAGUAGGGAAUCUUCCGCAAUGGGCGAAAGCCUGACGGAGCAACGCCGCGUGAGUGAUGAAGGUCUUCGGAUCGUAAAACUCUGUUAUUAGGGAAGAACAAAUGUGUAAGUAACUAUGCACGUCUUGACGGUACCUAAUCAGAAAGCCACGGCGAACUACGU
This 496-nucleotide ribosomal RNA is filed under the name uncultured bacterium. RNAcentral's name for it is "partial 16S ribosomal RNA". It matches the Rfam family "Bacterial small subunit ribosomal RNA", at positions 28 to 506 of the family's 1533-position model. The record is from RNAcentral.